This 301-nucleotide ribosomal RNA is filed under the name uncultured bacterium. RNAcentral's name for it is "partial 16S ribosomal RNA". It matches the Rfam family "Bacterial small subunit ribosomal RNA", at positions 509 to 807 of the family's 1533-position model. The record is from RNAcentral.
CAGCAGCCACGGUAACACGUAGGGUGCGAGCGUUAAUCGGAAUUACUGGGCGUAAAGCGUGCGCAGGCGGUUCGUUAAGACAGAUGUGAAAUCCCCGGGCUUAACCUGGGAACUGCAUUUGUGACUGGCGAGCUAGAGUAUGGCAGAGGGGGGUAGAAUUCCACGUGUAGCAGUGAAAUGCGUAGAGAUGUGGAGGAAUACCGAUGGCGAAGGCAGCCCCCUGGGCCAAUACUGACGCUCAUGCACGAAAGCGUGGGGAGCAAACAGGAUUAGAUACCCCAGUAGUCCCUGUCUCUUAUAC